AUGAACGCUGGCGGCGUGCCUAAUACAUGCAAGUCGAGCGAACGGACGAGAAGCUUGCUUUUCUGAUGUUAGCGGCGGACGGGUGAGUAACACGUGGAUAACCUACCUAUAAGACUGGGAUAACUUCGGGAAACCGGAGCUAAUACCGGAUAAUAUUUUGAACCGCAUGGUUCAAAAGUGAAAGACGGUCUUGCUGUCACUUAUAGAUGGAUCCGCGCUGCAUUAGCUAGUUGGUAAGGUAACGGCUUACCAAGGCAACGAUGCAUAGCCGACCUGAGAGGGUGAUCGGCCACACUGGAACUGAGACACGGUCCAGACUCCUACGGGAGGCAGCAGUAGGGAAUCUUCCGCAAUGGGCGAAAGCCUGACGGAGCAACGCCGCGUGAGUGAUGAAGGUCUUCGGAUCGUAAAACUCUGCUACUAGGGAAGAACAUAUGUGUAAGUAACUGUGCACAUCUUGACGGUACCUAAUCAGAAAGCCACGGCUAACUACGUG
Molecule: ribosomal RNA, 496 nt
Filed under: uncultured bacterium
Lineage: Bacteria
Description: partial 16S ribosomal RNA
Rfam family: Bacterial small subunit ribosomal RNA
Source: RNAcentral